AAUGGUGGAGAUAGCGAGAGGGAGACACCUCUUCCCAUUCCGAACAGAGCAGUUAAGCCUCUUAGCGCCGAUGGUACUGGUAUUAACCGGGAGAGUAGGUCACCGCCAACU
Molecule: ribosomal RNA, 111 nt
Filed under: Aureispira sp.
Lineage: Bacteria; Pseudomonadati; Bacteroidota; Saprospiria; Saprospirales; Saprospiraceae
Source: RNAcentral